CCAGAGACCACAAACUAAGGGUGGGGAAAUGAAGGUGUGAGAUGUCCUCAAAUUUCUCAGUACUUGCAGGGAAGUGGCAAUGAGUGAAGAAAAAAGCAUUUGCUUGAGACACGAACAAAGCGUGAAAUAAAGUUCUUCUCAAAUCAAACAGGAUCAUAAGGAAAAACUAUCCAUGCAGGUUAGGGAAGCACCAUGGCCUCUGCUGAUGUAAACCUGGAAAUCCAAAGAGCUGACGAGGAGUCGUUCAGCCUAAACCAAGUUGAGCGGCCUCUGGUGCAACAGUACAAAGCUGUAGAGCUGGUGCCAGAAGUCAAAGGGCCGCUGCACAACCUCCUGCAGAAACAACCUGCUGUGCUGGGGUCUCUGCAGAUGAUGAGCGGGUUCCUCAGUGUCGGAGUGGGGAUUUUCUUCGCUGUGACCCAGGAAAUGAGAGAGUCACUUUUCACCAUGUUCAGACUUUCCCACCUGACUGGAGUGAUCGUA
Long non-coding RNA from Pleuronectes platessa (European plaice), 483 nucleotides. RefSeq lists it as uncharacterized. The record is from RefSeq and is a predicted model, not a curated record. NCBI's taxonomy places the organism in Eukaryota, Metazoa, Chordata, Actinopteri, Pleuronectiformes, Pleuronectidae. The transcript is spliced from 4 exons.